AUAGAUACCCUGGUAGUCCACGCCGUAAACGAUGAGUGCUAAGUGUUAGAGGGUUUCCGCCCUUUAGUGCUGCAGCUAACGCAUUAAGCACUCCGCCUGGGGAGUACGGCCGCAAGGCUGAAACUCAAAGGAAUUGACGGGGGGCCCGCACAAGCGGUGGAGCAUGUGGUUUAAUUCGAAGCAACGCGAAGAACCUUACCAGGUCUUGACAUCCUCUGCCAACCCUAGAGAUAGGGCGUUCCCCUUCGGGGGACAGAGUGACAGGUGGUGCAUGGUUGUCGUCAGCUCGUGUCGUGAGAUGUUGGGUUAAGUCCCGCAACGAGCGCAACCCUUGAUCUUAGUUGCCAGCAUUCAGUUGGGCACUCUAAGGUGACUGCCGGUGACGAACCGGAGGAAGGUGGGGAUGACGUCAAAUCAUCAUGCCCCUUAUGGCCUGGGCUACACACGUGCUACAAUGGAUGGUACAAAGAGCUGCGAACCCGCGAGGGUAAGCGAAUCUCAUAAAGCCAUUCUCAGUUCGGAUUGU
This 526-nucleotide ribosomal RNA is filed under the name uncultured bacterium. RNAcentral's name for it is "bacterial SSU rRNA". It matches the Rfam family "Bacterial small subunit ribosomal RNA", at positions 778 to 1301 of the family's 1533-position model. The record is from RNAcentral.